Molecule: ribosomal RNA, 253 nt
Filed under: uncultured bacterium
Lineage: Bacteria
Description: partial 16S ribosomal RNA
Rfam family: Bacterial small subunit ribosomal RNA
Source: RNAcentral
UACAGAGGUCUCAAGCGUUGUUCGGAUUUACUGGGCGUAAAGAGCGCGCAGGCGGUCGUUCAAGUCGCGUGUGAAAGCCCCCGGCUCAACUGGGGAGGGUCACGCGAUACUGAUCGACUCGAAGGCAGGAGAGGGUAGUGGAAUUCCCGGUGUAGUGGUGAAAUGCGUAGAUAUCGGGAGGAACACCAGUGGCGAAGGCGACUACCUGGCCUGUUCUUGACGCUGAGGCGCGAAAGCUAGGGGAGCAAACGGG